Long non-coding RNA from Ficedula albicollis (Collared flycatcher), 503 nucleotides. RefSeq lists it as uncharacterized. The transcript has 3 exons. NCBI's taxonomy places the organism in Eukaryota, Metazoa, Chordata, Aves, Passeriformes, Muscicapidae. The record is from RefSeq and is a predicted model, not a curated record.
GUCUUUUCCAGCCCAAACCAUUCAGGGGUUGUGGUUUUUCAAACUUUCCAGAGACGUGAAUGCAGUGAGUGACGAAAAAAGCAGAAUAACUGAGAGAAGAGCAGUACUCCUGUGAGGAAUGUAAUUCCAUUCAUUCUUCAAUCUUAACAGCUGAGAGGGACCUGCAUUCUACAGCUUUAUGGGUGCCUGUGCAUCCUGGCAAUCAGCAAGAGGGAAUGUGUGAGCCACAGCUGGGCUGUUCCUCAGCACAGGAGCUUGUCCCCAAGCCUGGGUGUUCAAAUACUUCAGUUCUGAAGAGCAGCUGUGAUGAAUAAAGAGGUGCAGAUGUCCUUAAAACAGCAGGAGUAUCAUGGGAAGAUGUGCUUGAAGAAAGACCCUGAAUCACAUUUGCCUCCCUUGAAACAAAUUACAAGUCCUAACAUUUGUCCUUAAUCCACUGGAGAAGCAAGUUCAGGCUGAGUGUUGAAAGGAAGAACUUUGGAAUAGUUGUGCUUGCACUCACA